GAACACAGAAAUAUAUAUUGGAAACUUUGAACUUUAUUUUGUGUUUUAUAAUAUCAAAUAGAAUCAUAUUUUAACACCCAAAUGGUUUAAAAUGAGCUCUGAAUUAACUUUGGACGAGUUUGAUGGUUCCAAUUGCGUCGAUCGUGUCGUUUCUUUUGGAGGAAAUGGAGCAGUUGCAGGUAAAAUAGGUAGAGAGAGGUCCGAGACCGACUGACCGAGUUGGCAGCAUCAGUAUGCGAACUAUGGCAGC
Paramuricea clavata is the source of this 250-nucleotide non-coding RNA. NCBI's taxonomy places the organism in Eukaryota, Metazoa, Cnidaria, Anthozoa, Malacalcyonacea, Plexauridae. The record is from the annotation of a GenBank genome assembly.